This is a long non-coding RNA of Passer domesticus (house sparrow), 2145 nucleotides long. RefSeq lists it as uncharacterized. NCBI's taxonomy places the organism in Eukaryota, Metazoa, Chordata, Aves, Passeriformes, Passeridae. The transcript has 2 exons. The record is from RefSeq and is a predicted model, not a curated record.
CUGGGGCACCAGGCCCAGCACGGCCAGCGGGGCCAGGGAGGGAUUGUCCUGCUCUGCUCUGGGGGCCUCACCUCGAGUGCUGUGGGCAGGUUUGGGCAGCACAGUGUAAGGAAGAUCUCAAAGUGCCAGAGAGAGCCCAGAGGAGGCCACGAGGAGAGCGAAGGCCGUGAGGGGAAGGCGUGUGAGGAGCUGCUGAGGGCACUGGCUCUGGGCAGGGAGAGGAGGAGGCUGAGGGGACUCAUUGCAGUCUGCAGCUCCCUGGUAUCAAGGCAUCAAAACCAAAAUAGUGCAGUAGAAGAGAGCUUGCCAGGGUCCUGAUGCUGAAGAUUUUCUUGACAUGAAGGUCAAGGUCUGGUGUAAACAAAUGUUGUUCUUGGUGCAAGGACAAAGCCAGCUGGCAUCUCCACACUUGCUUUGCUCCAAGGUUUUUGCACGACAAACCAGACUCUGUCUGCCCAAUAAUGAGGGAAAGAGGAAGAGGUGCAAGGAAUCUCUAUUGUAUUAUUGUGUUAUUUGGUUUGGGCUGGUACAUUGGAGGAUAAUAUGGAUGGAAAUGCCACCUUUUCUACAGCUGCUGGUAAAAGUGAUGGUAUCUGUUAAAAUACAUAGCUUCUCAGAUGGCUGAGAACUGUUUUAUUUCAGGUUGAAAUCUGGCACUGGAAGUGCUAAUGAGUAUAUUUCUUCUGGUAUUCAUCUGUGACUAAUUGGUGAAUAAAUUACUAUAUUGCUAGCAUGAAACUGUAUUAUUUAUGUUUCUGGGUUUUUUUUGUAAAGAUGUGAGUCAUGAAUAAAUAGUGACAAUAAAUUUUGUUUGGUGUAAAGUCAAUAACUAACUGAAGUACUGGAGCUAGAUGUUUGUACAGAGUGUUGAACUAACAGGAAUGUGUGUGUUUUUAGGCAGGAGCUCCAUAAAUACCUAGGAAAUUGCUUUUUAAAAGUACCUGAUAAAUUUCAAUGCCUCAUUGAACCUUUAUGACCCAAGGACUUGCAGAGAAAUACUUCAUAUUUUCAGGAAAUCUGCCUACAUACACAAAGAUUGUGAAAUUACAAUAGAGAAGUCCACCUUUUUUUGACCCAGACCUUCAAAUGACAAGAAUUUUAUUUCCACUACCCUUCCCCAUUUGUUAUUAAAAGGAGAUAGCUAAAAUACAUGCAAGUAUUGAUAUACACUUCCAAAGGUAAAGAUUUUUUUUUUCAUUAAAGCCAUUUCCCUACAAAUAUGUAAAAAAAAAAAAUAAUUCUGUUAUAUCUGUGUUAUAUUUCCGAAGGAUACCAAAUUGUAUCAAAAAUCACUGUCCAAGUGGAGAGGUAAUAUAGAACUGUAUCCCUGAGCUGCACUUAUAUUUGUCACAGGUGCACUGGAGACCUUGAGGAAGCCCUGCUGGAGGUUUCUCUCAGCUCCUUAGCUCUAGUUUUGCUGAUAUCUGUUUAGGUGGUAAAUAUUCAAGAAAUAUUCUGUCUAGGGAUAUAUACACCAACCUGAGUCUUGUUCUCAGGGCACUUUGGCAAUAUGAAUAGCAGUCUGUAGCCUGGGAAGCAAGGCACAUUUUCCCUUUGCAGCAUAAUGGCACUUGAAAUUCCUCUGCUGUCCCAGGUUAGAUGUGUGCAGACUCAGCAGCACGAGGAGAUGCUGCAGAAAUGUCUUUACGUAUGCUGAGGGUUUGUGGCUGCUUCCACAGCCAUGUAAAUCAGAAGUAACUUCUGAAAUCAAUUUUAUGUACUGGUGUAUAACUGUGGGAGAGAGAAAAAGAUUUACUUUGAAAAAUGAGAAUGGCAGCUUGCUUAAUGUUUCUUUCCCUUGCCUUAAAAAACAAAAUGUGUUGAUGAUGUUCGUCUAAUGGGCUCUAAAGGCUCAGCCCUUAAAAUUAGCAGGUUCAUCAAUAAAAAAAUUGUUCCUAGCAAGGGAGAACUGCCAAAAAAUAUACUUAAUUUAUGGUACAAAUAAAGAAAUACUGUUGUAAUAAACAAAUUAGUCUUUCCAUUCAAUUAUGCACUUAGUGUUAUGGGUGCUAUAAUCUCAAAGUUGUUUCUAGAUUAUAUUUUGUUUAUUUCCUGUUGGAUCAUACAAAUACUACAAAAUAAUUUUAGUUUAAAAUGGUUGAGUACUGUCAGAAUAAAACUUGCCUUCAGUCUUUCUCCUGUUAA